GAUGAACGCUGGCGGCGUGCCUAAUACAUGCAAGUCGAGCGAACGGACGAGAAGCUUGCUUCUCUGCUGUUAGCGGCGGACGGGUGAGUAACACGUGGAUAACCUACCUAUAUGUCUGGUAUAACUUCGAGAAACCGUCGCUAAUACCGUAUAAUAUUUUGAACCGCAUGGUUGAAAAGAAAAUGACGGUCUUGGUGUCACUUAUAGAUGGAUCCGCGCUGUAUUAUCUAGUUGGUAAGGUAACGGCUUAUCAAGGCAACGAGGCAUAGCCGAGCUGAGAGAGGGAUAGGCGACACUGGAACGGAGACACGGACCAGGCGACUGCGAGAGGCAGCAGUAGGGAAACGUCGGCAAUGGGCGAAAGCAUGACAGAACAGCGGGGAGUGAGAUAUGAAGAUCUUCGGAGCGUAAAAAUGUAUUAUUGGGGAAAAACAUAUUUGGAAGUAGCUGUGCAGAUCUUGACGGUACCUGAUCAGAAAGCCACGGCUAACUACGUG
Molecule: ribosomal RNA, 497 nt
Filed under: uncultured bacterium
Lineage: Bacteria
Description: partial 16S ribosomal RNA
Rfam family: Bacterial small subunit ribosomal RNA
Source: RNAcentral